CGGACAGUAGCUCAGUAGUAGAGUUCCCACUUCGUAUGCGGGAAGACUUGGGUUCGAUUCCCGGCUGCUUAG
Molecule: transfer RNA, 72 nt
Filed under: Toxocara canis (dog roundworm)
Lineage: Eukaryota; Metazoa; Nematoda; Chromadorea; Rhabditida; Toxocaridae
Rfam family: tRNA
About the family: Transfer RNA (tRNA) molecules are approximately 80 nucleotides in length. Their secondary structure includes four short double-helical elements and three loops (D, anti-codon, and T loops). Further hydrogen bonds mediate the characteristic L-shaped molecular structure. tRNAs have two regions of fundamental functional importance: the anti-codon, which is responsible for specific mRNA codon recognition, and the 3' end, to which the tRNAs corresponding amino acid is attached (by aminoacyl-tRNA synthetases). tRNAs cope with the degeneracy of the genetic code in two manners: having more than one tRNA (with a specific anti-codon) for a particular amino acid; and 'wobble' base-pairing, i.e. permitting non-standard base-pairing at the 3rd anti-codon position.
Source: Rfam by way of RNAcentral